AAAAAAUAGUUUUUUCCUCAGCUUUGUGAUAAAAAGGGGUCAAAAAAUUAGAUAGGAAAAAGUUAUAUCAAUGGCUUGAUCAACGUGGACAAAAUAAAUUAAUGGUUUGUAAAUGCUGAAAAAGUUUUAAAUUGUUCAAUAAUGGUUUGUAAAUGUUGAAAAUAGGAACUCCAGGAACUUUAUAAUCAAAGUUUUAUAGAGCAUACAAUUUCUAUGAUACACCACCAUCUCUCUCUCUCGCUCUCUCUCUUGCUCUCAAAACUCAGAAAUUCCAAACCAAAUUUCAUAGCUCUCAAUCUCGAUCAUGGAAAUUUCAAAGCUCUAGAUCUUGGCAAUUAUGGCAAUCACAUAGCUCUUCAUCUCUCUCGACGUGGUGGAUUCAACUCCUCUAGUUAGGAAAUCAUGUGAGAAAGAUGAGUUUACAGGAAUUUGUGAGAGAAUGGAGGCCAAAGGACCAUGCUUAAAUGUCUAAGGAGGUGCAGCUAGAGUGCUUGGAUCGUCUACCAUGAUUAGAAGUUUUAUAUAAGGAAAGAAUCAAAGAGGCAGAAUCUGAAAAGGAAAAAUCUGAUUUGAGCACUGAUCAGUAUUUUGGGCGUAUCUCUCUCCUCAAAAAUCCAAUUGACACAAGGCUAGAUGGGUUGGAAUCAUGACUUAAAUAUCUACAACUUUCCAGUUUUGAGUAUUCCAAAAUUCUCAAUUUUGGAAGGCCGAAAUUAACUUACAAUUUACCACUAUAAACUUGGACGGAAAUUAAAAUAGUAAAAGUUUUAUUUUCUUUGAACACUUAGACGUUAGGGUUUUGGAAAGAAGGCUGGGAGAACGAACUUGGAGAGAGUGAUAGGCCAAAAAAGAAUUGAUCCCU
This is a long non-coding RNA of Quercus robur (English oak), 862 nucleotides long. RefSeq lists it as uncharacterized. The record is from RefSeq and is a predicted model, not a curated record. The transcript is spliced from 2 exons. NCBI's taxonomy places the organism in Eukaryota, Viridiplantae, Streptophyta, Magnoliopsida, Fagales, Fagaceae.